RNAcentral lists this long non-coding RNA (517 nucleotides) under Bos taurus (domestic cattle). RNAcentral's name for it is "long non-coding RNA NONBTAT026610". The record is from RNAcentral. Lineage: Eukaryota; Metazoa; Chordata; Mammalia; Artiodactyla; Bovidae.
AGAAAUAAGAGCUUCAAGAGCAAAAAUUUGUCAACAUUUUAAGAUGUUCUGACUUUGUUUUCAACACAUAACUGAGAAAGUCCCAGGAAGCUGACCCAUCCAAGUCAAUCAUCUCUGAAGAGUUGCAGACACACUAAGUACUAGAGUAAACCUUUCUUCUAUGUGAGCCAAAAAAAGAGAAAAACAACCUGCCAAACACCAGUAAAGAGAUGACUAUCAUCGUAUGGGAAUUUGAAGAGCUUCUAUAUGGCACAUUCAUGAUCCAAAUGGGAGAGGAUCAGCCCUCAUAAUGUCUCAGAAGGCCUUUUAACUGAGUAACAAGAAGGGGAAGUUAUAAUAGCUUGUCAUCUGUGCUUGCACAUUAGACUUCCAGGUAGUUAAUGUAGACAAAUUCAAAGCAAACAUGCAGGUAGUUCUUUGAAAAGCCCCCAAAUCAUGUUUAGAAGCUCUGACCAAUGCAAUAAAAAGGAAGUUAUUCUAUAUUCAGUUUCUCCAGCCCAUCGAUGAUCAAUCUUUC